This is a long non-coding RNA of Argentina anserina (silverweed cinquefoil), 642 nucleotides long. RefSeq lists it as uncharacterized. The transcript has 3 exons. NCBI's taxonomy places the organism in Eukaryota, Viridiplantae, Streptophyta, Magnoliopsida, Rosales, Rosaceae. The record is from RefSeq and is a predicted model, not a curated record.
GUGACAAAAAGUCAAAAAUAGAACUUUCAAAAGUAAUGCAAGAACUCCAUUUACAUUGGGUAUUUCUAUUGAAGAUGAAGGAGUGAGUUCUUUGAUAUCAGGUUUAGUUGUACAUAAAGGUCUGCACUUUGCUCUAUCUAUUGCAACUUUUGGUCAACAAACUUUCUCUACAAUUUAUCUGAUAUGAGAAUAUUCCUAGGUAAACUAACCUUUUUAGAUAUCAAUAACAACUCUAUUAGUGCAAAAGGGGACUUUCAUUUUGGUGGAUGUAUCAAAAGGACAAAGAGCUUGUUGUGGCUGAACCUUUACAUGAUUGGCAUAGGAGAUGAGAUGGAAAGAAGAUCGGCCACACAAAUACAGCACACCCUGCAAAGAAGGGAAAUACUCCUGCCACUGAUAAGUCCAAGACACACAGUCCAGAGUCUACUGAUGGUAACACUUGCAGCAAGACAUUUGGUUCAGAUGGGGCUCUUCAAUGUAAGCACUGGUAUAUGGACAAAUACAGCUAAUCGGAGCAGAUCCUACUAUUGGAGCAAGUAUUUUUGUUGAAAAGCAAUUAAGAAAAUGAUGCAACUCAUUCCACUACAUCCUAGAAUUUUAGGUGAAGUAGUCUCUUGAUCAUGAUUCUCUGGCAUUAUAUGU